GACGAACGCUGGCGGCGUGCCUAAUACAUGCAAGUUGAGCGCUGAAGGUUGGUACUUGUACCAACUGGAUGAGCAGCGAACGGGUGAGUAACGCGUGGGGAAUCUGCCUUUGAGCGGGGGACAACAUUUGGAAACGAAUGCUAAUACCGCAUAAAAACUUUAAACACAAGUUUUAAGUUUGAAAGAUGCAAUUGCAUCACUCAAAGAUGAUCCCGCGUUGUAUUAGCUAGUUGGUGAGGUAAAGGCUCACCAAGGCGAUGAUACAUAGCCGACCUGAGAGGGUGGUCGGCCACAUUGGGACUGAGACACGGCCCAAACUCCUACGGGAGGCAGCAGUAGGGAAUCUUCGGCAAGGGACGAAAGUCUGACCGAGCAACGCCGCGGGAGUGAAGAAGGUUAUCGGAUCGUAAAACUCUGUUGGUAGAGAAGAACGUUGGUGAGAGUGGAAAGCUCAUCAAGUGACGGUAACUACACAGAAAGGGACGGCUAACUACGUG
RNAcentral lists this ribosomal RNA (497 nucleotides) under uncultured bacterium. RNAcentral's name for it is "partial 16S ribosomal RNA". It matches the Rfam family "Bacterial small subunit ribosomal RNA", at positions 28 to 507 of the family's 1533-position model. The record is from RNAcentral.